GGUUGACCUCGGAUCAGGUAGGGAUACCCGCUGAACUUAAGCAUAUCAAUAAGCGGAGGAAAAGAAACCAACAGGGAUUGCCUCAGUAACGGCGAGUGAAGCGGCAACAGCUCAAAUUUGAAAUCUGGCCCUUGCAGGGUCCGAGUUGUAAUUUGUAGAGGAUGCUUCGGGUCCGGCUCCGGUCUAAGUUCCUUGGAACAGGACGUCACAGAGGGUGAGAAUCCCGUACGUGACCGGCCGCCACGCCCGUGUGAAGCUCCUUCGACGAGUCGAGUUGUUUGGGAAUGCAGCUCAAAAUGGGUGGUAAAUUUCAUCUAAAGCUAAAUACCGGCCAGAGACCGAUAGCGCACAAGUAGAGUGAUCGAAAGAUGAAAAGCACUUUGGAAAGAGAGUUAAAAAGUACGUGAAAUUGUUGAAAGGGAAGCGCUUGCAACCAGACUUGCCCGCGGGUGAUCAGCCGGUAUUCUUACCGGUGCACUCGCCCGUGGUCAGGCCAGCAUCGGUUUGGGCGGCUGGACAAAGGCCCCCGGAAUGUAGCUCCUCUCGGGGAGUGUUAUAGCCGGAGGUGCAAUGCAGCCAGCCCGGACCGAGGACCGCGCUUCGGCUAGGAUGC
Molecule: small RNA, 613 nt
Filed under: Myriospora rhagadiza
Lineage: Eukaryota; Fungi; Ascomycota; Lecanoromycetes; Acarosporales; Acarosporaceae
Description: eukaryotic LSU rRNA
Rfam family: Eukaryotic large subunit ribosomal RNA
Source: RNAcentral